AAGUUGAAGCAUGAGCAAGAAAUUUAAAGGGUUGCAGGUACAACUCUCAUACUUUCUGAAAUUUAAACUGUUUAAAUUUGAUUAGCCAAAUCUCUUCAUUGAAUUCUCUACAAAUUAGGGAACAUAUAUCCCCAUGAUUUUAAGCUAUAACGUGGAAAAUGUUGAAGUAAUCGACUCAAUUAGCUAUUGUAUAAGCACUUUCCACACUCCCGCACCAACCGAACAAACACAAAACUCAAUUAGAUGCCAUAACUAAAUAAUCACAAACACAUUUACGCCAACAAGAGCUCUUUUCAGUUGGAGCCUGGUUGCCGACCAAGAAACGUGGCAGAAAAGCCAAAAACAAAAAAAAAAUAUACAGAAACCGGGUCAACAACAGGAACAACAUGAGCAACAAUUUUGAAACAAUGAAAUGACGACAACGACAGAAGCGGCAAGGCAUGCCUGGAAAAUUGCUUGAAAUGCUCAGAAGCCAGAAAGAAAGGGGCGGCGGAGCGGUGGGAAAAGUGGGUGGACUCCGCCGAGGGGAGAACAGCAUUCCAACAUGUGACGCACGUGACAAAACUUGUCAAGUGACUUUACUUCACUUUGACUGCGAAUCCCGGCUCUGUUGUCCGUAAACAAGAAGACGGAAUCCCGGCUGAGAAGAAAAAUAGGUUUGUGCGCAUUGCCCCACACAAAAUGCUUAAGAAAACUCUGCUCUCGGUAAAACAAUAAAGGAGAGGCAAAAAGGAAAAAUCAGUCGCGGGCUUUUCCGACUUGUUGCGCCUUUGGCUAAAUUAUGACAUCGAGAGUUUGAGGGAAUGAGAAGCCCUUAGAGGGGAACAGAAGUACCAUUUUAAGAGGAGCAAUGAAGUGGAAUUCCAUUGGACUUACAGAUAUUCGUGAGCAGCUUUAACCGUGCGUUUUGUUAGAAAUAAGUUAGUUUAACUUUUAGCUUGGAGAAAUCUAAUUAAAGUGUGCCAUGAAAAAUGAACAAAGAAGGCCAUGAAAUUAAAGUCCAAAAUUUAAAACCUGGAUUACCCGGAGAGCGGGGGUAAGACUCAUUCUCGUUUCGGCCCUCUAACCAAAAACAUCUUUUUGGACAACUACCAAAUCUUUUUUUGGAAUUAAAAUCCUACUUCCGUAAACAGGCUAAUAACAAGAUGUGCAAUCCAGGAAUAUGCUCUAUGCCCGGCACUUGCUGUGGACCGACUGGUGGUCUGGGUCCCUGUAUGCUCUGCGGACCCUAUAAUGGCCAGUGGUUCCGGUCGAUCAACCACUGUUGUGGUCCCUGUGGGCCAUAUGGCUGCUGCUCCUGCUACGGACCCUACGGCGGACAUUGUUAGCCUGGUUAGAAGGAAAGUAGGAUUUAAUCAUCCACAAUUCAAGAAAACUCUGAACAAUCCAACAAUGAAACCUUCCAGUGAGGAUGCAAGUUGACGAAGUGGAUCCAAAAAUUUGUUUUGUGAUAAAAUUUGUUAGAAUACAUCUCGGUGAAACCUAGCGAGGGAAUCUCAGUUUAAAGCAAUACCAAUAAUGUAAAAAUAAAUUCUUCGUAUAUUUUUUGCAAAA
This is a long non-coding RNA of Drosophila eugracilis, 1554 nucleotides long. RefSeq lists it as uncharacterized. The record is from RefSeq and is a predicted model, not a curated record. The transcript has 2 exons. Lineage: Eukaryota; Metazoa; Arthropoda; Insecta; Diptera; Drosophilidae.